AAAAAAGCCAUAUAUUUUUCAUAAGCCAUUGUAACAAGUUUGUCAUGAGCACGUUGUUCAAGUUUCUUUUCCUGAAGUUCUUUUGUUACUGAGGCAGAUUUCAACAAUUUAUCUAGCAAACCUUUCUUAUUUGAAACCUGUCCAUGGUACUUAUCCUCUAAGCUGAAAAUCUCCCCACUGAUUCCUUCAUCCUCUAUUUGCAUAUCA
Molecule: unclassified non-coding RNA, 207 nt
Filed under: Hevea brasiliensis (rubber tree)
Lineage: Eukaryota; Viridiplantae; Streptophyta; Magnoliopsida; Malpighiales; Euphorbiaceae
Source: RNAcentral